GGGUGAGUAACACGUGGAUAACCUACCUAUAAGACUGGGAUAACUUCGGGAAACCGGAGCUAAUACCGGAUAAUAUUUUGAACCGCAUGGUUCAAAAGUGAAAGACGGUCUUGCUGUCACUUAUAGAUGGAUCCGCGCUGCAUUAGCUGGUUGGUAAGGUAACGGCUUACCAAGGCAACGAUGCAUAGCCGACCUGAGAGGGUGAUCGGCCACACUGGAACUGAGACACGGUCCAG
Molecule: ribosomal RNA, 236 nt
Filed under: uncultured Staphylococcus sp.
Lineage: Bacteria; Bacillati; Bacillota; Bacilli; Caryophanales; Staphylococcaceae
Description: partial 16S ribosomal RNA
Rfam family: Bacterial small subunit ribosomal RNA
Source: RNAcentral